UGGUCACAUGGCAUUGUUUCUCUAAUGGAGCCUUGCCAAGGAGAGCUGUAAGCAGCAACUGAGAAUCUGGAGAGGACCCAAGAGUCAGAGGGGGCUGCAAGAAUUAAAUUUGUCACCUCCAUGACAAUGACCAGCAGACCCUCCAAGUGUCCCUAAUUUCCAGGGACAGUCCUGGAUUUACAGAAGCCGUCCCAGUUUCCAAUUUGAUCCCGCUUUUUCCUUAGGAUGUCCCUAUUUUCACCAGAGAAAUGUUGUAGCGUAUGAACUAAAGGUAAAGGGACCCCUGACCAUUAGGUCCAGUCGUGGCCGACUCUGGGGUUGCGGCGCUCAUCUCACUUUAUUGGCCGAGGGAGCCGGCGUACAGCUUCUGGGUCAUGUGGCCAGCAUGACUAAGCUGCUUCUGGCGAACCAGAGCAGCACACGGAAACGCCGUUUACCUUCCCGCCGGAGUGGUACCUAUUUAUCUCUUUACACUUUGACGUGCUUUUGAACUGCUAGGUUGGCAGGAGCAGGGACCGAGCCACGGGAGCUCACCCCGUUGCAGGGAUUCAAAGCGCCGACCUUCUGAUCAGCAAGCCCUAGGCUCUGUGGUUUAGACCACAGCGCCACCCGUGUCCCAGGGUAUGAACUAGCCCGUCAUCAUUUCUGUCCCAGGGUGGCUUGCCAUCCAAAUUUAAAUGUUCAGAAGGUAGAGGACUCUCACCUCUCGCACCCUUUUCCUCCUUGUGAACAGAACUCUCUGCCAGCCACAGAUUUUAGUCCCGCUCACCCUUUGAGCCAAUCCCCUUUUUAAUCUUAUCCAGGGCCAAAUUGCACAUGGGCUUGUUCCUUUAUUUGCACCCUGAUUUCUCCAAGCCAAGCCCAGAUACAGCAACUGUGCGGCACGUCGCUUGAGGAGAUGAAACAUACUUGGCAUCGUGUAGUGAUUUCAUGCUCUUUAUUGCAGCUUGUAAAACAGUGAAGGAAUCCCCCCCCCCCCCAAAAAAAAAAACUUCUGGCUUUAUAUACAUUAUUAACACAAUGGGUCCUGUUUGACAGACUGUUUGACAGCCAUUUGGAGUACGAGUCUCUGCGGUGGCCUCGUCAGCUGGCAACUGCUGCUAGGCCUGGGCCAAGUCUAGGUUGCCAAAAAUCUUAGACCCUGCCAGGGUGGCAAGGACAUGGCUGACCACUGGCACUGGGUAUGCAUGAGCUGCAAGGGCCUUGUUUGUGGUACAUUUGUAGUCUGCACAGAUGCAGACCGAGCCGUUGGGCUUGAUGGGCAUGGUGAUCGGGGUUUCCCAGGGGGCGUUGGGCACCGGCUCAAGCACUCCUUGUUCCACAAGCCGGUCUAAUUCCUCGUCUAUGCGGGGUUUCAGGGCAAACGGGACUCGGCAGGCCUUCACUCAGCAGGAUCUAGUUGUAGGCCAACAGGGGGCCAGUAUAUCAUCCCAAUGCUCCGUCAAAAACCUCCGGAAAUGCUUUGCAUAUGGCGUCCACAUCCACAUAGGAGCUGGUGUGGUUCACCCCAGUGAUGGCUAGCCCCAGUGGCUCGAACCACACCAACCCCAGUAAGCUGGCCUAGGGCCCCUUGACCACAAUCAAGUCUAACCGCCACUUACACCCUCAAUCUUGUACAUUGAAGGUUCCCACCCCCAUCAUGGGGACCUUAAAAUUUUGGAAGUCCUGGAGGGUGAAUGGGGCCAGCCUGAGCUUGGGGCCACCAUUUGGACACAACUUCUUUAAUGCCCAUGCUGAGAUUAUGCACAGGGUUGAGCCUGUAUCGAGCUCCAUGCAGCCCAGGGCUCCCUAUAUCUGUAAAGGUAAAGGGACCCCUGACCAUUAGGUCCAGUCGUGGCCGACUCUGGGGUUGCGGCGCUCAUCUCACUUUAUUGGCCAAGGGAGCCGGCGUACAGCUUCUGGGUCAUGUGGCCAGCAUGACUAAGCCUCUUCUGGCGAACCAGAGCAGCGCACGGAAAUUCCCCAUCGCAGGGAUUCAAACCGCCGACCUUCUGAUUGGCAAGUCCUAGGCUCUGUGGUUUAACCCACAUUGCCACCCGCGUCCCUCCUAUAUCUGUACCUCAAUGUUAUUUUUUUCCACGUUGGAAUGGGGCAGCUGCUAUACCUGACAGUCCGUGAUCUCUGUCAAGUUGCUCUGUCAGACCGCGGGGCCUGGGACUCUUAGGUCGGCUAUCAGAUGUGAGGCGUCGGGCAGGCCAGGCACACCUGGGCGAUGUGUCCCGCUUUUCUGCAUUGUCGGCAUUCUGCACUGCAGAAACAGCAAGUCCUCUGCUCGUGGUUCUCCCCACAGGUCGCGCAGUUCCCCUCUUCUGGCCGAGGCAGUUGUGGUGGGCGUGCGGCUUGUGGAAGCUGCUGCACUCAGUGCACGUCCUCCCUGUCGGAUUAUGAGUCGGUGAGGUCUUCAUGGUGGGCCCUGGGUUGGGACGAUGAGUUUGGCUGGAAUCCUUGCUCAGACCUCUCGGCGGCUUCGGUUGCCAGGGCCUCCUCUAGGGCGACCUGGAACGUCAGGUCCUUCUUGGCAUGGAAGAGCAACUUCUCGUCCCUCAGGCCACCCGUGAGCCAGUCGCGGAGCAUGUUCUCCAGCUCUGUGAAGUUGCAGAGCCUGGCAGCCUGGCAGAGGGAGGUCACAUACCUGGUUAUGGUUUCUCCAGGGGCCUGCUGCUUUGCGUAGAAGGCGUUGUGACACACUACCACCGAGGCUUGCUGCGAGAAGUGCCCCUUCAGCUGCUCCAUUAACGGUCGUGAUAUUUUCAGGUGUGAGGAGGGCCCGGGCGACCUCGAACGUUUCCUCUCCGCAGACGCUGAAGAAUGUUGCCCUCUUCUUGGCUGCUUCGGUGACGUCCUUUGCCUCCAGGAGGAACUGGAAGCGGGUGGCAUAUCCUUCCCAGUCUCCUGAUGCUGGGCUGAACGGCAGGAAGCUGUUGUCUGUUGCCAUUCUGGGUCCUUGGGUUCUGGAGCUGUAGCCUGGAUGUGCGGUGCGAUGCAGCAGUGUGGCCAGUGGUGGGCUGUGGUGCGGUGCGCGGCAGACAGCUCAGCGGGAUCCCACCUUCAUCGCCAGUGAAAUAUACUCGGAGUUGCAUAGUGAUUUCAUGUUCUUUAUUGCAGCUCGUAAAACAGUGAAGGAAUCCAUCCUCCCCCCAAAAAACCUCUGACUUUAUAUACAUUAUUUACACAAUGGGUCCCAUCUGGUUGACUGAUUCUGCUUCCUCUGGAGCCGGAUUGGGCUGCUCCUGCAGGCCAAUCAGGUUCUUGCAUUCUAGGAUCCAAACAUGAGACUUAAAAUGUUUCAUCGCAACACAUCAGAUGACUUAGGGAUGUUUCUUCAUGUCAUUUAAAGUUUGCAGUGCCCAUCAAUCUUCCUUUAAAGCACACUGGCUGGUGGUGGUAGCCUCUAUCAUUGGACUACUGCAAUGCGCUCUCUGUGUGGCUGCCCUUGAGGAUGGUCCAGAAGUUGUAGCUGGUGCAAAAUAAUAAUAAUAAUAACUUAUUUCUUAUAUCCGCCCAUCUGACUGGGUUGCCCCAGCCAUUCUGGGGGGUUUCCAGCACAUAGAAAAACAUAAUAAUCCCUAAAAUUAGGGAUUAAAGGGACAGAAAUUCCAAAAAAGAUGAUUAAAUUGUCUAGGCACAAAAGUGGAAGGAAGAAGAAGUUCCCACCAAAGAAGAAUGGAGGAUAAGUAAAGUUGUUUCAUUACGUUUUGAUAUAGGUUGGAAGCUGCCUAGAGUGGCUUGAACAACCGUCAGAUAGGCAGGGUACUAAUAAUAAAAUGGUGGUGGUUGUUGUUGACUGUCAGGUCUUUGACCGCAAUAAAGAUUGAUUGGUUGGUGGCAGUGGUGGUUGCCUAUGCUGAACUGGCAAAGUUAACAGCCAAAACAGGAGAACCAAAUGAUUAUUGCUUUGUGGAAGGAUAGAAGCCCUUUUCAGACUAUUUAAGGAAAUAUUGCUGUUUGAUUAACUCACAGGCAGGAUUAGAAAUGAGAGCAACAGAAGAAAUUAGAGAUUACAGUAUCAAGAAGGAAGUUCGCAGCAGAGGGGAAGAAAUUAAAUCACUGUGGGAAAUGGGGUGG
This 4065-nucleotide long non-coding RNA is filed under the name Podarcis lilfordi (Lilford's wall lizard). Lineage: Eukaryota; Metazoa; Chordata; Lepidosauria; Squamata; Lacertidae. The record is from RNAcentral.